AUGAAGGUCCAAGACUUGUUCAUGGGUUUUGCUCUUGUUGCUGUGAUCAGUGCAGCACCGAUAGAGGACAAAGCUUUAUAUGAUGAAGAGUACCACCCUGAAGACUUUGAGAUAGAUCCUACACAAUAUGAGAAACUCUUACAGAAUCUGCAGAGUUAUGAGAAAGCUCUGGAGAAAGGUUUUGGAGACGAGGAAUUCCUGGGCAUAUCCUUUGACUACGGUGAGCUCCUGGGCACAGAGUUGGAGAAUGAAACAUUCCUGGCCGCAGGACUCGGGGUUGAUGUGUCUGUUGGUGCACUUCUUGGAGAUGAAGCGGCCCUGGGUGAAGGCUUUGGAGAUGUGGAGUCCCUGGCCACAAGCUUUGGAUAUGCAGAACUCCUAGACACAGAGUUGGGAAAUGACACACUUCUAGUUGCAGGACUUGGGGUUGAGAUGUCUGUUGGUGCCCUGGGCGAAGAUUUUGGAGAUGAUGACUUACUUCUGGCAGCAGCUCUUGGAGAUGAGCCCCUCGGCGCAACCUACGCAUAUGAAGAGCUCCUGGGCACCGAGACUGGAAAUGAGACACUCCUGGCUGCCGGACUCGGGGUUGAGGUGUCUGUUGGUGCGCUCCUUGGAGAUGAGGCGGCCCUGGGCAACGGGGAACUCUUGAAUGUCAGUGAAGAAGAUGAGAAACUCAUGGAGAUCGCUUUGGAAAACCUCAAUCUCGAAGAUGUGCUGAAAGCAGCAGGUUCUGACGGUGAAAUCAGAUCUGAUGCUGAAUGAGCUGAGAAAAAUGAAUCCCUCACUGCACACUGCCUGUAUGUCUCAGUAUACUUCUCACACUCUUCAAACUAUUUGUUUCAAUCAUAAAGGGAAAAGAUCACAAAGCAAAAUAACCUUUAAUCUCAAGAGAACGUAAUCUACAGUUCACCAAGUGAGGAAUGUGAUAUUCUGUCAUGUUUUUGUGGCUUAUAUGUUAACAUGUAUGUUUAUCUGCUCUUUCUCUGCAGCUCUGCAGGCUCGUGGCUUCAUCAUGGUCAUGAUGCAUGUAAGGCAGAUGAAGUGCAUUAACUGAGGCACUGUCUCAAACAUAAGGGAAAGUAAAAAUGUUUUGAAAUGAAAUAAAAAUAUUGGUCUCAGUUUCAAGAUUAAUAUUUUCUUUAUUUUUUAUUCUUUGUGUGUCUGUGUGUGUAUAUGAAUCUUAUUAUAAUAUAUCUCAAAAGCAUGCAGAGAUUUUGCAAACAAUGUAUUUUCUGUUGCUUAACUACAUUUUCAUUUAUAAAUGACUUGAAUUUGAUCAGCAGAAUCAGUUUUUUUACGUUCCCAUAACAGCAUAAAAAUGCAGGUAAAAUGUUCUUCAUUCCGCAUUUAGAGCUUUCGAGUAACUAUCGCCUGAACCACACAGUGAGCAAACAACUGUUGGGUGACUUUAUUUAAGUAAAGUAUUCAAAUAAGAC
Molecule: long non-coding RNA, 1436 nt
Filed under: Oreochromis niloticus (Nile tilapia)
Lineage: Eukaryota; Metazoa; Chordata; Actinopteri; Cichliformes; Cichlidae
Description: lncRNA (ENSONIG00000032386.1)
Source: RNAcentral